UGCGCAACUGAAGUGCUCGACGAAAUGUCUUAACUACUUGCUGUUGGUGGUCUUCGCGCAUUCCGCCUAUUGUGGUGAAGAGUCACCGACCAAUGCACUGCUGUUGAUGUCCGUGAUGCCGCCACUUCACCCUCAUGUCAAAUCCCCACUAUAGCUGACGCAGCCCAACCCGCAGGACCUUGGAUGCAGCGGCCUUCAUGGACAAAGCCACUGGCUAUGGUUUGCUAACAAUAAAGCAGGAUAAUAUUUUGGUGUACCAAAGUUCUUUAUGACACAAAAUAUAACUAAAACAUAUGUUUGUAUUAGCUUCAUCUAAAAUAAUCUAAACCUCGGUUAAUCAAGUUAGGAUUUCUUACAAAUUGUUUUAUCAAAAACAGGAAGGUUACAAGAUCAAAAGAGCAGGAAAUGAUCAAGACAAGACAAUAGUAACAAAGGGACCUACCAAAAAUUAUCAUUGGGUGCCUCGAUAGUGGAACCACUUAAUAAAGAUUUCUGGGUUACAUUAGGUUCAAUAUCAAGUGAUCUAGCUUCGAAGCAGAAGGGACUCAGGUGACAAGCAAUUGGCAACACAAGCAUUUGAUCGUGCUCGAAGCAUUGAUCCCUCAUUUGCCUUGCCAUGGGCUGGAAAUAUCUCUACAGUUGCCAGUGGACCUGUGAGUUACAAAUGGCUGGGAGUCCCGGUGGGUGCAAUCUGAUUGUAAAAGGAGUGAAGGGAAAGCUGGAAGGUUAAAGCACACGGCCGGAACAUACUCUGGAGAUUCUGAUGCCAAAGAUUUAUUUUUCAUCCCUCGCACAUUUGUGUUUCAAUUGACUAUGAAUACAAACAACAAUGGAUGCUAGGCAUUUUCCUAUCUCAGCGAAGUUCCCACAAUUCAGUAACAAGAACAGGACACUGGUGGUCCAGUACUCCAUCAAGUUUGAGCAGGAUAUCGAGUGCAGUGGUGGAUAUAUUAAGCUUAUGUCCGGUUAUGUCAACCAGAAAAAAUUAGUGGGGA
Molecule: long non-coding RNA, 995 nt
Organism: Panicum virgatum (switchgrass)
Lineage: Eukaryota; Viridiplantae; Streptophyta; Magnoliopsida; Poales; Poaceae
Exons: 6
Source: RefSeq, a predicted model, not a curated record